GCAGCCGGGGCGUUAGCGGUGCCCUGUACCUACAAUCCGCUCUAGUAGGGGUGAUGUUUUCUCGAGGGUUUUAGCUUGUAUGGCUGCCCUCUAUAAGUGGCGUUGAAGUUUGGGUCUUACGCAAUGCGAAUCCACGAACCGUGUCAGGGCAGGAAUGCAGCAGCACUAAGAGGAAUCUCGUAUGUGCCGUAAGGGUGCCUGGCGGAGUUAACUGUAGAGGUAACGCAUAUGGGUCCGAUUCGACAGAAAACGCA
Molecule: signal recognition particle RNA, 254 nt
Filed under: pig gut metagenome
Description: Bacterial large signal recognition particle RNA
Rfam family: Bacterial large signal recognition particle RNA
About the family: The signal recognition particle (SRP) is a universally conserved ribonucleoprotein involved in the co-translational targeting of proteins to membranes.
Source: RNAcentral